This is a long non-coding RNA of Amphiprion ocellaris (clown anemonefish), 1134 nucleotides long. RefSeq lists it as uncharacterized. NCBI's taxonomy places the organism in Eukaryota, Metazoa, Chordata, Actinopteri, Pomacentridae. The record is from RefSeq and is a predicted model, not a curated record. The transcript is spliced from 2 exons.
AGGUUUUUUUUAUCAUGUGCACUUCUCACAGUUCAUCAUCUUAUGGGCGUCCCUCGGGAGGAAGGUCUUUCCUGGGUUCUGACGUCAGGCUUUAUGGACCAAAGAACUACAGACUCUUCACAACCUGCUCAAACUCUUGCUCCAGGACCUCACCACACGGGUCAAGAAGGUUUCUGUCUCAUUUCUACUCUGAAGCUCACCUUCUCCUGCUCAAACUGCUGACAAAUGUUUCUGCUGCUCUAAAGUCUGGUCUCCAGAACUUCCUAAAAACUCUCAAAGGCUCUUCUGCCGCAGGUUGCUAUGUAGAACUGUUGCAGAAAACCUCACUAAACCACAUGGAGGGGCCUCAAGAUAGUCGUCCAAAUGAAACCAUACAAAAACCAAACUAGCACAACCCAAAUGCUAAAGUCUCCUGCAGCCUACCAGAGAACCUUUGAGAACAGAGAAUCAGGACAGGAACUCUUACCUUCUGGACAACCAACGUUGGUUCUCAAACAAGAAUACAGAAUGUGUCUGACCAAAAACCUCUAAAGACUCACUACAGCCAAGAUAAAGACACAACUCAGCUGUACCAAAUCCACUAAUCACUGCACACAUUAGCACCAUGUGCUAACUGUGGCUAAAGAACCCCAUUUACAGAGACAACUAUCCAGUACAAAGCCCUAAAACACACCAAGAAACACAUUAAAGACGAUUUUACUGCUGGAAGCUGCAAGCCAACACCUAAAGAACAAACUAAAGCAAAGGAGCCAAACCCGGUUCUGUGGUGAAGAGAAGCAGAGGAAAUGUUUGGCUGCAGCUAAAUAAAGCAGGAAGACACUGAGCUGCUCAGGUGUUCCUGAUAACACCAAGCAGCCACCUGGACAGCCAAUAGGAACACAGCCACCUGGACAGCCAAUAGGAACACAGCUUACUGGAAGUCCAGAGGGCUGGGUUAGUGAAGGAAAUUUACUUUAAAGUUGAAGCAGAAAGUUAACAAAGAAAGUUGAAAACCACCAUCUGAUACCUGAAAUCUCUGAGUUUUCACACAAAGAACACCUGAACAUGUCAAACUGGUUUCAUAGUAGAACCAUCAUUGUAAAAACGUCAUAGUAUGGUGUGUUGCUCAAAGAAAAUAAAAUUUUGUCCACUGAG